This 1133-nucleotide ribosomal RNA is filed under the name Bacillus pumilus. RNAcentral's name for it is "bacterial SSU rRNA". It matches the Rfam family "Bacterial small subunit ribosomal RNA", at positions 367 to 1503 of the family's 1533-position model. Lineage: Bacteria; Bacillati; Bacillota; Bacilli; Caryophanales; Bacillaceae. The record is from RNAcentral.
CGCAUGGACGAAGUCUGACGGAGCAACGCCGCGUGAGUGAUGAAGGUUUUCGGAUCGUAAAGCUCUGUUGUUAGGGAAGAACAAGUGCAAGAGUAACUGCUUGCACCUUGACGGUACCUAACCAGAAAGCCACGGCUAACUACGUGCCAGCAGCCGCGGUAAUACGUAGGUGGCAAGCGUUGUCCGGAAUUAUUGGGCGUAAAGGGCUCGCAGGCGGUUUCUUAAGUCUGAUGUGAAAGCCCCCGGCUCAACCGGGGAGGGUCAUUGGAAACUGGGAAACUUGAGUGCAGAAGAGGAGAGUGGAAUUCCACGUGUAGCGGUGAAAUGCGUAGAGAUGUGGAGGAACACCAGUGGCGAAGGCGACUCUCUGGUCUGUAACUGACGCUGAGGAGCGAAAGCGUGGGGAGCGAACAGGAUUAGAUACCCUGGUAGUCCACGCCGUAAACGAUGAGUGCUAAGUGUUAGGGGGUUUCCGCCCCUUAGUGCUGCAGCUAACGCAUUAAGCACUCCGCCUGGGGAGUACGGUCGCAAGACUGAAACUCAAAGGAAUUGACGGGGGCCCGCACAAGCGGUGGAGCAUGUGGUUUAAUUCGAAGCAACGCGAAGAACCUUACCAGGUCUUGACAUCCUCUGACAACCCUAGAGAUAGGGCUUUCCCUUCGGGGACAGAGUGACAGGUGGUGCAUGGUUGUCGUCAGCUCGUGUCGUGAGAUGUUGGGUUAAGUCCCGCAACGAGCGCAACCCUUGAUCUUAGUUGCCAGCAUUCAGUUGGGCACUCUAAGGUGACUGCCGGUGACAAACCGGAGGAAGGUGGGGAUGACGUCAAAUCAUCAUGCCCCUUAUGACCUGGGCUACACACGUGCUACAAUGGACAGAACAAAGGGCUGCGAGACCGCAAGGUUUAGCCAAUCCCACAAAUCUGUUCUCAGUUCGGAUCGCAGUCUGCAACUCGACUGCGUGAAGCUGGAAUCGCUAGUAAUCGCGGAUCAGCAUGCCGCGGUGAAUACGUUCCCGGGCCUUGUACACACCGCCCGUCACACACGAGAGUUUGCACACCCGAAGUCGUGAGGUAACCUUUAUGGAGCCAGCGCGAGUGGGCAGAUGAUGGGGUGAGUCGACACACGGGUAGCCGU